UACGGAGGGGGCUAGCGUUGUUCGGAAUUACUGGGCGUAAAGCGCACGUAGGCGGCUUUGUAAGUUAGAGGUGAAAGCCCGGGGCUCAACUCCGGAACUGCCUUUAAGACUGCAUCGCUUGAAUCAUGGAGAGGUCAGUGGAAUUCCGAGUGUAGAGGUGAAAUUCGUAGAUAUUCGGAAGAACACCAGUGGCGAAGGCGACUCACUGGUCCGGUACUGACGCUGAGGUGCGAAAGCGUGGGGAGCAAACAGG
This 253-nucleotide ribosomal RNA is filed under the name uncultured bacterium. RNAcentral's name for it is "partial 16S ribosomal RNA". It matches the Rfam family "Bacterial small subunit ribosomal RNA", at positions 524 to 776 of the family's 1533-position model. The record is from RNAcentral.